AUAAACCAUGCCAGGCCCUGCGCCAUUGCCCAUAUGUGAAAUCAAUACCUGGUUCCAAACUAGCCCCGUCCAAACUACCAGCGCCUUCGUGUUUCACAUCCCCGUAAUCUGCCUCCUGAACUCUGCGAGACUCGCCGUGAAAUAAAUCGGCUAUCAGGAAGACGAAUUGCGCAGCUCCGGCCUGAACAGAUGAAGACAGCUCUCCGGCUGUGGGCGCAGUACACAGGAUCCUCGCGGAGACGAGACUUGAGAAACUCCAAUGCUCUGACCGGCCGCUCUGUGAUUCCUCCCCAGUGGGAAUCUGAGAGGGGACGGACGGGACAGGAGGUAAAAUCAAGCUGCUUCCUAAUAGAGCUCUGGAGCAAAUCACCCCCUGAAACUACAUGUGACAUAUAUAAUGUACAUAUCAUGUGCUCCAGCUGUCAUUGUGUUCCUCAUAUGUCAAACCUGAUCCGUUUCUCCUAAUGCUGAUCUACGUUUGUUUUUAUUUACAUGGAAAGUGGUGUUUUCUGGUGUGUAGAUUAAACUAUUAUGAUUAUUGUUGCUAUUAAUGUUGUUAUGUGUAAUAAUAUUGCAGAUCUGUGUUAGUGCGAGUGAACUGAAACGUGAUUUUUUAUGCCUUUAUCUCAUUAAUAUGCAAACUUAAAAUCUGUAAAAAGUUGAAAGAGUUGCAUCUUCAGAAUCACAUACUGUUAAAAAUGAUAGAAAUUGCAUUUUUAUAUCUUUAAAUGAAGGAAACUCAAUCUUCCUGUUUGUAUUUUCCCAAAUUCACUUCAUAAGCCCAAGUUUGGAUUUGACUGGUCGUCGAUUAAAUCAAAACAAAGACACACUCACUCAACUCUGCAUAAUUUCAAAUCAACACCUCGGCAUUAAUGGGCCCCGCUGCAGGACUGCGUGUGAUAAUGUUUGCGGAGGAGCUGCCGAGUUCAGCUGUUGCUUUACUUUAACAGUGCACAGAAUGCCCUCAGUGUUCACUUUGAAGAAAAAGUGUCCAUCAGAUGGCCGACACUCUGAGGAAUAGUUAAGCUUACACAUGUGGAAAAAAAACAAAAAACUUGGAAUGUGCUGUCUCCACUUGGCAAGAUGUCACAGUUCUGCUCCGUACAUUUGUCGUGACCCCAAUUCUGUCUGCUGCUUUCCUUUCCAUGCAUCCUCUGCUGCUGCCGCUGCCGCUGCCGCUGCUGCUGGCAGCUCGAGCUGGGACAGACACCAAGCUGAGGUCUGACCCCUGCUGACAGAAAUGAGGCUCUCGCUCGUGUUGCAGACAGAACGGUUCGGAGUGAAAUGUCACCAGAGGAUCUCCGCGGCGUUUGAUCUGCGUGGUCACGAGGAACUAAGUAACUGACGAAAGCUUGAUUGGAGCGAUAACUAGCUCUGGCAGCCGUCUGACGAGUCAACGUCUCCUGUAGCGUUCUGCAGCGGCGAUGAGCUUCUGAGAGAAGAUUAGACUGAACCCAAAAGUGAAGGAGGAUCUAAUGAGCAAAAAAUAAGAGCAGAUCCCAAACAGAUGCUCUGGUAGGAAGGCACACGGCCACGGCUAUUUUGAAUUCAUUAUUUAUUUCCCCUUACCCCCCUCUAAUGCUCGGAAAUGUGUAUUUGGCCCAGCUGUCAUCGAGCGUGGCGCUGCUGAUAGGGGAUUUGUCGUGUGUUUACCCAGACGCAAGCGGCUCAAUGGUUGCAAGGGUCCGUUGUCUCAUGCAAACCCCAUCAUUGGGUUAAAGCAUUUGAAGAGCAAUAAUAUUUUGAUGUGGCGAGCUGCUUAGGAUCUGAAACUUUGACGUGCAGAACGAGGGGCUGUGGUUGUGGUUUGAUUCAUGCGUCCUUCUCGCCGGAGGGUGGACACAAAACGUCUUGGGCCUGAACCCAAUAGCCUCUAAUCAGUGGGAGCAAUGCAUCACAAGUGCAGAAGAACACACAAAGACCUGCAGUGUAGUCGCAUAAAACACAAGAGGUUCAAUAAGAAACCCGACAGAACUCAUUUCUUUAAAUAUAUACCAUCGUCGUGAGCAGUUGUCGACUGACACGAUAUUUCAGGCUGGAAAUUUGACUCCGAUCCUCGGUCGCCGUGUUCACGCAAAACCACCAGACCGCUGAUUUUGUUUUAGGCUAAACCCUAUUUGUUGUAACAGAUACGAAGAGAGUCAUACUAUGUUGAUCUGGGAGGUAGAAGAAGAAAACAAGAAACCAAUCUGAAUACUGAUUUUUCUAUGUAUUUUCAGGCUGUGAAUCGAUAAAAACUCAGUAGGAGUCUGUACUCAGGGAAAAGUACCACAUGUACUUUUCUACUUGAGUAAAAGCAAGUGCAUGCUUUUACAGGUUUAGUGUUAUAUUUUCUUAUUGGAUCUUCCUGGACCAGUUCCCCUCUCGUUAUUUAAAUUACUUUUAAAAAUAUAAAAAACUCGAAAGUACAGAUAUUUGCUGAUACAUGUCCUGGAGUCACCUGCAAAUAAAUCUACUUAACUAAAGUACAGUUACAUGAACAAUUUACUUAAGUACAGUAAUAAAGCAAAAGUACUUCCCACCACUGAAUGUGAGGAAGUCAAAAGGGUCAGAUUACAAAGUUCUCUUAUUGAUUUCCAUAAAGCAAACUAAAGCACUAAAAUUUAAAUGAUAAAACUUUUACAGUGCCAUUUGUGUCAUAAAUUCUCACAUGGUCUCAUUCGCACUUUCUCCAGGAGGCUGGAGGAGGAAAAGUUCCAGAAAGUUUCCAGAGCAACUGACUCUGACUCUUGCCUUCUCACAUGUAGAGCCCUUGUUGGUCUCUCAUGUUCUCUGAUGGGCACGUUUCCAGCCCUGCAUGCCUCCUUUUGACAAAUGCACUGUCGAUGGCUGAAGGUUUUGCGAUUUGCACGACGUACCGACAUGAAGUCGGUGACUGCGUUGUCUGUCAGCCAUUUUCUGUUUGAGCCUGUUUGAGCCUUUUCUGUGGCACUGAACAAAUCUAAAUCCUUCGACUGAGGAUCGGCAGGAGUUAGAUAACCUAAACUUAAAUGUAUGCUACUUGAGCAGUAAUACACGGUAUGUCCUGCUGAUAAUAUAUAAAUAAAUGUUUUGUUUGCACAUGCAGUACUGACACUGAACAAUGGGGGGAGCAUUAGUGUGCAGGUGAUGAGAAGCAGGUGAGUGUGAAAGGGGAACGAGCUGCUUUUGCCUGAAUGGAAACGUCACGGUGCCUGAAUAUGGAUGUGUUGCUACGUUGCACAGCUGGAAUAAUAACUAAGUGUUGUGCAUUUCAAACAGAUGCUGGAAGUUGCUACACUGGAAUGCUAAAUGAAAUCAUGGAAAACAGUUUCCUUCUGCAAGGUACCUUCACGUCCCUCCUCUCCUUCAUCACGUUAAUGUCUCAUCAAUGCUUAUUACUCACUGGACUUCUUUCUCCAGUGUCUUUGUGUUUUGUUGCUGCAGAUCCGGGAUCGUGGUAGCGGCCACGUCGGAGAUCGUGGUGGCAGCUGAUCGUGGAUUAUGAUUACAACUAGAUUGCUUAGAUUCACAAUAUUCCUACUCACAUAUACUAUAAUUAUUGGCAAUACUAAUGAGGAUUAAUAAUAAUAACUAAUAGUUUUCCCUCACUCUUACUGAGGAUUAAGAAGAGAGGAUGUCGCCUUUUCUUAAGCCCUGCGAGACUAAUUGUGAUUUUUGAAUACAAAUGAAAUUUGAUUGAUUGAUUGAUUGAAGUAAAACCUUUACUAAAUCAAUAUAUAUCAUUUUUGUAUAACAUGAUCAUGAAGACAAUAUCUAACCUUGCUGGAUACCUUCAUCAGUGUGAUGAAUUUGGAUUUCUUUAUCCGGAAUAUAAGUGGAAGAAAUGAUCGAUCAGCCAGAACACAAAACCAGUUCCUGCGAAGCCGUUUGCAUUCGACUGAUCUUCGGGCCAAAUAUGAAGUGAACCACUGAUUGUGAACCACGGAAACAACUGGCAUUCAUUAAUGUGAAGGAGAGCGAACUGUCCCUGGAAAGAUAAAUGAACGAGGGACCGAGUGAAGUCUGAGUGUGAGCUGCGUCUUUCAGCACGGGCUCUGGCUCUCUGCUGGGACACCAGCGAGUGGAUGCUGCCGCUGGAAGCUGAAGAAACAACGAGCAGCCGAGCAGAUGAUGACUGAGUGUUGGGCUUUGAUCUGCCGACGCACGUUCGGUCUGCCUUUUGUCUCCUCGCACAUAAACUUUCAUUUUAAAACCAAUGCAAAUGACUCAAAGUGCCGGACAAACACCUUGAUGAUCCCAAAACCUGGACCGGGUUCAACGAGGAUGUCUGCGUUUUCGAUAAUAAAACUAAUAUUCUGAUUCACCGUACGAAGGACUUUCAUUAUUAAAGUUCAGCAGUUCAGAGUUCAAUGAGGCUGCGUCGCUUCUCUUGUGUUUUCACUUUAAAACGUAAAAAAAUCAUCGUCCAGAUGAGAAUUUUGACUUGAUAUGUAACCUC
Molecule: long non-coding RNA, 4420 nt
Organism: Hippoglossus stenolepis (Pacific halibut)
Lineage: Eukaryota; Metazoa; Chordata; Actinopteri; Pleuronectiformes; Pleuronectidae
Exons: 4
Source: RefSeq, a predicted model, not a curated record